Long non-coding RNA from Diceros bicornis minor, 1417 nucleotides. RefSeq lists it as uncharacterized. The transcript has 3 exons. The record is from RefSeq and is a predicted model, not a curated record. Lineage: Eukaryota; Metazoa; Chordata; Mammalia; Perissodactyla; Rhinocerotidae.
AGUGUAUUUGUACUAAAAGAAAAAAAAGAUCCAUGUUUCUACUAGGUAAGUUAACAGGAUUGUGCUGGUUACUUUUCGUUUGCUCCACCAGACCCAUUCUCCAUCCUGCUCUGUGUCCUGGAAAGCUAGCCUUUGUGGAUGACAUCACCUGGCUCCCUUGACCUCUGGCUUUCAUUCACGCUUGGCCACUGGACAGUUCUGAGAAGUGAUCAGAGGGUGGGAAGAGCGAGCAGACUCUGUUGAGCAGCAGGGUUCUGGCAGUUCUUACAUCUCUCAACUCCAGCUCCUGCAAGGUGACCUCUUCCCUUCCGCUCCAGCAUUCACAGAGCUACUUCACAGCAUUCACACUCCUGCUUCCCCCUGCUCCUUUAGGCCCAGGAUGCUAAUGGCUUCUCACUGCUGCUAGUCAUCUACCCAGUACCUCCACACCCUUAGCUGAUUCUCUUAAUUCCUGUGCAUUUUUUGUAGUUCCUCCCAUCAAGAAGUCGAGUCUAUUUGCAACCAGGUCUGGCUUUGCAAGUUGUUUUAACCAACAGGAAGUAGAAGAAAUGAUGUUGCAGGACCUCAAGAGCCUCGCAGCUUCUCUGCUCAUUCUCAUGGAACCCUGAAACAACCGUGCUGUGAAGUAGCCUGGGAUGAAAGACCCUGUAGAGAGAGGUCCAGCAUCUUGGCCAAGCCUGGCCCCUGGCAGACCUGCCAGCUGAUUCAUCAGCCAAAUGCAGCUGCUUGAAUAGACAAUGGAGACAACUCUGCUUAUAAAUACAGGAUCCAGAAUUACAUCCAAGUGUGCUUUCUGUUUCCUGCUGGGAAGGUGACGGACACAAAGUUCUGUGGAGGGACCCUGGCUGCGGACUGGGACCCAAUCUCUACUCUCUGCGUUUUGCCCCUGCUAAGGAGUUGGUUUCUGUUGCUUGCAAACAAGAAUGCUGACUGAUAAAAUAUUCAACUUAUGUUGGUUAAAAAUUCAGCCCUUUAAGAGCUUUUUCUUCAUCAAAGGCUCUAUGUAUACUGUCAAAAAAGGAGCAAACCAUCAUCUUGUUUUCAAGCAAGAGAAGACGUUAUUUACCUGAUUCUUCAACCCUUGAACCUGAUUGCUCGAAUUAUGAAUCACGGACCCUGCUUCCUGAGCUUUCUGGAGGGCGUUCCUCGAGAGGGUGAGGGAGCCGCGACAGCUCGGGUCACCACAGGACGAGACCACACAGGGCACGUCCCCGAGUUCUCCACACACCUCACAGGAGAAACAACUUAUGUGAAAAAGCAAAUUGUUGGCAGAGUUUUUUCUAAUGCCGUCCAGGCCCACUGAGGCAAGGCACCACUCUAUUCAUAUGCAUUUUUUCAAUAGCUGUUCACGCAUACUAUGUGCAUGCGACCCAUUAAAUGUUUCCUAGAUAACUGAAUAAAUAUCAAAAUUAUUUGU